RNAcentral lists this ribosomal RNA (515 nucleotides) under uncultured bacterium. RNAcentral describes it as "partial 16S ribosomal RNA". It matches the Rfam family "Bacterial small subunit ribosomal RNA", at positions 28 to 523 of the family's 1533-position model. The record is from RNAcentral.
GAUGAACGCUGGCGGCGUGCCUAAUACAUGCAAGUCGAGCGAAUGGAUUGAGAGCUUGCUCUCAAGAAGUUAGCGGCGGACGGGUGAGUAACACGUGGGUAACCUGCCCAUAAGACUGGGAUAACUCCGGGAAACCGGGGCUAAUACCGGAUAACAUUUUGAACUGCAUGGUUCGAAAUUGAAAGGCGGCUUCGGCUGUCACUUAUGGAUGGACCCGCGUCGCAUUAGCUAGUUGGUGAGGUAACGGCUCACCAAGGCAACGAUGCGUAGCCGACCUGAGAGGGUGAUCGGCCACACUGGGACUGAGACACGGCCCAGACUCCUACGGGAGGCGGCAGUAGGGAAUCUUCCGCAAUGGACGAAAGUCUGACGGAGCAACGCCGCGUGAGUGAUGAAGGCUUUCGGGUCGUAAAACUCUGUUGUUAGGGAAGAACAAGUGCUAGUUGAAUAAGCAGGCACCUUGACGGUACCUAACCAGAAAGCCACGGCUAACUACGUGCCAGCCGCCGCAGUAA